Molecule: unclassified non-coding RNA, 186 nt
Filed under: soil metagenome
Description: partial internal transcribed spacer 1
Source: RNAcentral
CAGAGUUGCAAAACUCCCUAAACCAUUGUGAACGUUACCCUACAAACCGUUGCUUCGGCGGGCGGGCUCCGGGUCCGCCCGUUGCCCCCUCGGCGCCCCCCCUCGCGCGGAGGCGCCCGCCGCCGGAGGAAACCCAACUCUUGAUUAACAUGGCGCCUCUCUGAGUCUUCUGUACUGAAUAAGUCA